UACGUAGGUGGCAAGCGUUGUCCGGAUUUAUUGGGUUUAAAGGGUGCGUAGGCGGCCUUGUAAGUCAGUGCUGAAAUAUCCCGGCUUAACCGGGAGGGUGGAAUUGAUACUGAUGGACUUGAGUAAAGUUGAGGUAGGCGGAAUUGACGGUGUAGCGGUGAAAUGCUUAGAUAUCGUCAAGAACACCGAUAGUGUAGACAGCUUACUAAGCUUUAACUGACGCUGAGGCACGAAAGUGUGGGGAUCAAACAGG
This 253-nucleotide ribosomal RNA is filed under the name uncultured bacterium. RNAcentral describes it as "partial 16S ribosomal RNA". It matches the Rfam family "Bacterial small subunit ribosomal RNA", at positions 524 to 776 of the family's 1533-position model. The record is from RNAcentral.